CCUUCCACACUUCGGUAUCAUUUGAGGGGACCACGCUCUUCACUCCCCUGCACUCCGUAUCAAUAAUUCCUGCUUCUGGCCAGGCGCGGUGGCUCACGCCUGUAAUCCCAGCACUUUGGGAGGCUGAGGUGGGCGGAUCACAAGGCAUGGCCCAUGUCCCUGGGAACAGUAGAGACUGAGGCCUGGGUCUCAGUGGCAUCAAUUAGAGCCUUUCCCUGGGACUGAUGUACGAGUGUCUCUUUCUGUUGGCAUCUUUAAAUGAGAAGAUAAAAAUCCAGGUUAUCAUUAGCCACAUUCACUGGUCAAGAAAAAGGCCUCUGCAGAACACAGCUGAGCAGAACCACACAGAAGUGGAAGAAGCAAAGAGGUUUCCAGAAGACUGAUGAAGAAGAGGUGCAACUUGGAAAAGAGAUCAGCAGCAAUCCAGCUGGAAAAUAGUGAUCAUCUGAGAGGAGAGUGGCCAUCUGGUUGAAUGAAGGGCAACAGGCGUGAAUAAAAUAAAAGAAGUAGGCUUGAUGGGUAACUGACCACCUGUGGGGAAUUAAGGAUGUUUAUCAGAGAGGAUGAAAUAUUGGGAUGGUUUUGUGGAGGGAGGGCAGUAGAGGGGUUCAAGCCAGGACAUUUGGGCAGAGAUGCCCUAUCUCUUGGCUUAUACUAGUGAGUUCACCUGGAUAAAACUUUUACUGUGAAGCGGUGACACUCUGCCCAUCCACCUUGUAAGUUCUUCUAUUAUAAGGCUGUAGAAAAAGACUCAAGUGGCUCUUUAAUUUGAUUCCUUGUGCAGGUUAGAUUUUUUUCCUAGAAUAACUUCAGUCUGCUAAUUUCACAUUAGUAUUACUUAAGGUCCUCAACAAUCAAAGAAAAGCUGCUUUCAGACUUCAAGUGCCCACAAGGCACUCCUUGGGAACAUGUACUACUAAUCCUGUGUGUUCCUUCUAAGCCGAACACUGACCUAUGAAGUCCCUCAAUCAAGUAUCUCUGCUCUUUUCCAUAGUGUCACUAUUACUGUCUUCACUUUUUUUCUUUCAUGUCACCCUUUCUCUCUCAGUUUACCUCUUUUCCCUGGGCAAAGAUGCUGCCAAAACUAUACAGCCAAACUGCCUCCCUAAUCAAGACUGGGAAUAAUAAUAGACCACUGCUCCAAUGGAGCAUCUCUUUCUUUUCAGGGCUGCAUGACACUUUGCACGGAGCUUCCUACCUCCAAGUGACAUUCUUACCUGCAGCUGAGUAAAUGAGUCCGCCUCCCAUACAGUUGUUUUAUAGGAUUUGCUAGGGAUUAAUUCUUUCUUUUCAGCUGUACCUUGUCAGAGACCACAAAUGAACAAAGAGGAACAUCAAGAAAUAGGAGAUAGGCUGCGUUUGGCUUUGUCUGGCAUUCACUCCUAUUCACCCGGCCAAGUUUCUUGAUGCUGUUGUGACGAGGCAUUGUUGUGGGUGGAAAGCUUGGAGCUAUAAUGCACGUGGCUGCCACACAGCUGGCGCUGUCGGCUUGAAGCUGGAAUGGAGUGAACCCGCCUGUUAAUUUGUACAUGAACACACACUAAUCUCUCAUUCACACCCUGGGUGGCUGGUUUGUUCUGCACACAGAUGAAUCUAAAAAGCUUUGGCCCUCUGGCAUUCCACAGAUGAGAUUCUCAUUAGGAACGGCAGUUCCCUCUCUGACCCAAUGGAAGAAGUAUCAUGGGCUCCAAUCCCAGCUUCUCAUUCUCUCCCUAUUUAAUACUACUAAUAAUAUUUAGCAUAUUUGAGUCCUUCCUACUACUACCAGAUCCAUGUAAAGAGCUUUACAGACAAUCGCCCACUCAGUCCCUACAAACAUCUGCUGGGGAGUCACUGCCUAACAGUGGGUGUGUUCCCCAUUUCUAAAAUUUCCCCAGACCAGUUGCCAUCUUCCUUCCUGGACACAAUAAUUGCUGCUCUAAUUUCCCUGCUCUCUAACCCUAUCUUUAGAUCCAUAUAUCAGUUCCUGCAUCCUCAGGGACCCCUGUCUUAAUGCUUUCUUCUUUAGCUCCAUCCCAGCACACUCUACCUAAUAUAGUUCCAUGGUCCACAGUUCCAUGGUCCAUGACCAUGGACAUUAUGGUGGCAAGAAUUUAUCCACCAACCAGGUCACCUCUAGUUUACAAUAAUAAUAAAAUUUAAAUGUAAUUUUAUACUUACCUCCAAACUCAUCCUUAUAUACAUUAAAUAUAUAUAUAGCCUACUGUAUGCCAACCAUACCUUAAUAAAGUAGUUUUAAAUAUAAAUUUAAUUCAACUUAUGUUAUUUUGAUUAUGAACAAAUUAAAUUGAAUUAAGUUUAAGUUUAAUUAUAAUUAAUGUAGUAUAAAAUAGAAAUAUGAUUUUUAAUAUAUUAAAUGUAAUUAUAAUUUUCACUCGUGUCCAUGUGAAGAGACCACCAAACAGGC
This 2407-nucleotide long non-coding RNA is filed under the name Homo sapiens (human). Its description in RNAcentral is "HSALNT0305681". Lineage: Eukaryota; Metazoa; Chordata; Mammalia; Primates; Hominidae. The record is from RNAcentral.